Long non-coding RNA from Ictalurus punctatus (channel catfish), 579 nucleotides. RefSeq lists it as uncharacterized. Lineage: Eukaryota; Metazoa; Chordata; Actinopteri; Siluriformes; Ictaluridae. The transcript is spliced from 3 exons. The record is from RefSeq and is a predicted model, not a curated record.
CCCCGUGGGAGCGUGUCAGGAGCGGGCGUGAAUAAACAGCUCCGGUGUUCAUGCCGAGAAAAUAAUGCCAGAUCCUCAGCAGGCAUGGCAUGUUCAGAUUUAAUGUGAUCUGCUAACAGCAGCUCAGUGUGAGAGAGGAAAGAUAGCGAGCCGCUACUGCAGCCCUUCUACAUUUAAAGUAUGAAGAGACCUCUAUGAAACAAAUUUGGAUUUUUUUUAGGACAACUUGCAUAUGUUAAACCUCAUAUCAGGACUUUUCAGGGCCGCUUGACAUGCCGUGAUUAUGAUGAUUUGAUGAGGGGCUUGGCACAGGCACGAGCAUUAGCAUUGCCCUCACUUUGCUCUGAUACAGUACUUCUCUGGUUCUCUGAUUACCUCUUUCUGCUUUGUGGGAAGUGAAUGAUGUCCACCUCGCUUUAAAAAAAAAAAAAUUAUCUCCCUUUUCUUCUCUUACUCACCGCUUCGAUUUUUCCUCAGCCUUGUCCACACUAUCAUGACUGUUUUAAAACCGAGACAGAGAGAAGCAUCAAGAUGGUUGAGGAUAAAGUUCAGUCGUGCCAGGUCUCUUAAAAACCUACC